Molecule: ribosomal RNA, 705 nt
Filed under: Enterococcus mundtii
Lineage: Bacteria; Bacillati; Bacillota; Bacilli; Lactobacillales; Enterococcaceae
Description: bacterial SSU rRNA
Rfam family: Bacterial small subunit ribosomal RNA
Source: RNAcentral
AUUAGAUACCCUGGUAGAUCCAUGCUCCACCGGGAAAAGAGGAGUGGCGAACGGGUGAGUAACACGUGGGUAACCUGCCCAUCAGAAGGGGAUAACACUUGGAAACAGGUGCUAAUACCGUAUAACAAUCGAAACCGCAUGGUUUCGUUUUGAAAGGCGCUUUACGGUGCCGCUGAUGGAUGGACCCGCGGUGCAUUAGCUAGUUGGUGAGGUAACGGCUCACCAAGGCCACGAUGCAUAGCCGACCUGAGAGGGUGAUCGGCCACAUUGGGACUGAGACACGGCCCAAACUCCUACGGGAGGCAGCAGUAGGGAAUCUUCGGCAAUGGACGAAAGUCUGACCGAGCAACGCCGCGUGAGUGAAGAAGGUUUUCGGAUCGUAAAACUCUGUUGUUAGAGAAGAACAAGGGUGAGAGUAACUGUUCACCCCUUGACGGUAUCUAACCAGAAAGCCACGGCUAACUACGUGCCAGCAGCCGCGGUAAUACGUAGGUGGCAAGCGUUGUCCGGAUUUAUUGGGCGUAAAGCGAGCGCAGGCGGUUUCUUAAGUCUGAUGUGAAAGCCCCCGGCUCAACCGGGGAGGGUCAUUGGAAACUGGGAGACUUGAGUGCAGAAGAGGAGAGUGGAAUUCCAUGUGUAGCGGUGAAAUGCGUAGAUAUAUGGAGGAACACCAGUGGCGAAGGCGGCUCUCUGGUCUGUAACUGA